Molecule: long non-coding RNA, 5753 nt
Organism: Armigeres subalbatus
Lineage: Eukaryota; Metazoa; Arthropoda; Insecta; Diptera; Culicidae
Exons: 3
Source: RefSeq, a predicted model, not a curated record
UCAACUUCCGAGAAAAUUUAUAAGAAAAGUCUUUCCAGUUAACCUUGCGAGCAAAGGGGUAGGAUUGCCAAACCAGAAAUUCGAUUUUUUGGGUAGGAAACAUUCUCGACUCCCUGGACAUGUUGAUAUUGUGCAUCCCCCACACAAGAUACAUCGAUAGUUUGGCGUAAAGCAGGCACAACUCGAAAUCUGCAAAUUUUCAGGAACAUUGUUUCAAUUUUUUUGUUCUUCCAUAUUUUGAUGAUUAGGUAUUUCAAAUUCCAUGGAUCUUUCUGCAUGUAUUGGAACAAAUAUUUAAUUAAUGGAUUAUUUUUGCAUGUUCCACUUUUUUUUUAAAUCGAUCAAUUCGAUAAAUCGAUUUGACGAAUCUGAGAGUACACCCACGCAAAUGAACGCAGUCAGCAGGUAACAGAAGCCUCCACCUACGUGUUUGAUGGUGUUGAUUUGCGUGGGCGUGCUCUCAUAUUCGUUAAAACAACGUUUGAAUUUUUGUUUACAAAAGCGGAUAAAUCUUUUCGAAAAUUUGGUUUUGAAGUACACAAAUGAAAUAUGUCAGUUAAAACUAUCAUAAGGGCAGUGACCAAAAAUAAUUAACGUAAAUUGUCAACUUCGAGAGUAAUAGUCUGUUCAUUCUAAGAGCUACAUAACAUUAUAAAUUGUAUUUGAACAUUGAACGUCAUAUGCAUUAUUCACGAUAAAAAUCAGAUGCUUUCGAGCUGUUCAGAAGAGUCGAUUCCUCUUUUAAAGAAUUCGAUUGUACAAAGUUUUACCGAAAGUCUAUUUGAAUGCUCCAUCAAAGAGCUUUUGAUAGAAGGCCCGGAGACCCAUAGUGUUGUAUACCGAUCGACAAAAAGUUUAGCUCACUUUUUUUGCACUUACUCUCAAUCAAUUUACUCGCAACAGGCUGCAUUUGACGCAGUAUCCUGCCCCAUUGUUUCCUAUUAAAAAUUGGACGGAUCGGACAAUGGGCUUGGUAGUUAUGGCCAAAAUACUUUUUCUCAUAAAAAAGCGCGUAAAAAAGUCUAGCUCAUUUUUAAUGCACUUACCCUAAACGGAUUCCCUCACAACAGGCUGCAUUCGACGCAGUAUUCUGCCCCAUUGUUUCCUUUUGAAAAUUGGACAGAUCGGACAAUGGGUUUGAUAGUUAUGGCCAAAAUACUUUUUCUCAGAAAAAAGCGCGUAAAAAAAUCUAGCUCACUUUUAAUGCACUUACCCUGAACCGAUUUCCUCGCAAUAGGUUUCAUUCGAUGCAGAAUCUUAUCUCAUUAUUUCCUAUUGAAAAUUGGCCCGAUGGAAGAUGGGCUCAGAAGUAAUGCCCAAAAUACUAUUUAUUUACCGCACGAGAAAGGCAUCAUCACCGCUAGGUGGAUUAAUCUGGGUUUUUAAUAUAAUUCGAAGCAUAAUACAACACAUAACACACUCGUCAAAUGUCCAUCGUUCACUGAUUUGCUGGUCAAUUCAAAUAAUCAUCAGUUGGCCAAUCGAUCACUCGUGGCGCGCACAUCGUUAUUGCUCGAGUUUGACGUUUGCUCAUUACCGCCAUCUGGUUCGUGAUUUGCCCAACUAACUAAAAUCAACAGAUGUCGUUAUUGUUUAAACGACGAUGGAUUUGAUGAGUAAAUGUUCAAUGUGUUAUGUCUGUUUGUCAAUGAUAAUACUAUAAAUUGUUCCGUAGAGUAUAGUUUAUACUAUUUCAAAGAAAGCAAAUAAUUUAAAAAAAUCAAUUUUAUUUUAUUCUAUGUGAUAAAUUCAGGCUUGUCAUUGUUCACCGUCCAUAGUCAUAGUCAAGGAAUAAAGACUAACGUUUGACUUGCAGUAUCAUUUAAUCGUAAUAAAUAGGCUGCUUUAAUUACAAAUUCGCGUUGUCAGGACGAGUCCAGUUACGGCCCAAGCUAUGUGCGGUAUGACUCUUUGUUGAAUGAGCCCGAUUCGUUACCAUGGAUAGCGUGAACGAUGUUUUCCAGAGAAUGACCCUUUAUGGAUAUAUAAAAGACAGUCGCGAAGCUCAAUGCAGUGAAUAGCAGGGUUCGUAAUGCUCACUCAAUCUUAGGAGGACAUGAUUUUCCCUCACGAAAGUUUUCGGGGAGAAAUUGCUUUUCGGGAAAGAAAAACAGCCUGGAGAGUGAUAACAAUUUUUCGCUCACUUCGAUUCCGCUAAACGUUGGUUUGCUCUUUUUCAUUCAUAUUCGAGUCUUUUCGUGGCAUCAUCAAUGCAAAUGGUAAUAGCUUAUGUGAAAAAAAUAACUUAACGCUUUUAUACAGAUAGCGUGGUGGUGUGGCUAAAAUAAGCGCAUACCCACAGCUAUUAUUGUUACUAUUCUGGGUUCGAAUCCCGGCGCGGCCAUACAAUUUUUGUAAUUGUUGCGAUAAUUCUCGCGAAAAGUGAGUGAGCGGCAGUAAAAAGUAAUGAAACGAAAAAGGAUUUUCAUCAAAUAGGCUAGAUUUUCGUUCAUCUUCCAAUGCUAAUUCUAGAUAAAAGAUUGAUGGGUGAAAGCUGGUGAAAGAUGAUCCUCAACAUAAACAACGAAACAAGAUUUUCCCUUGGCCCGAAAAACGCUUGCUUUGGUCUCUUUGAAACGAAAAGUCAAAACCCUGGUGAAUAGAUAACCUACGGAAUGAAGGCAAAGUUACCUGUGAUUUAUUUGUCAUAUCAUAUAGUGUACAAUCUUCAGGGAACUAAAUUGGUACAAAUGCUAGCGUUUGGGCCACCGGAUCUUGAGGUUCUAAGAUCGAUCCUCCAGUAUAUUUUUUACUCAAUUUUUUUGUAAUUAUUUCAUUUUCUUUGAUCCUUAUCUUGAUAUAUAUUAGUUUUAGUUUAUAUUGAUUAGUUCCUUGGAAAGUAGAACUAGUGUGAGCUCUAGCAAACGUGUCUGCAUAAGAAGUUAUAAAAAGAUUGAUAAAGAAUGGAGAACAUAUUGGUCGCGACCAGGCUACUGACAUCCUAUUGUUUAGCCCAUCGCCAGAUCGUAGCCAGGAUGUCCUGGGCUAUAAUUUUAUAUCAUACUGCGUUUCAAUGAUGACAGCGGGCUAUGUCUUUUGAUGAUGAUGACACCGCGCUUGUCACCUGCUCGGUCGCGACCAUCAAACUAACAACGGUCAGAGCCACUGAAGGUCAAGGAAUAAAAAAAAACUUAUGGUUACCUGUGGUUUUUGGUCGCGAUGUUAUGGUUUUUGGGUAGGAUAUGUGGUUGCUAACGUUGCGUUUGGUGACGACGAUCAACAGAAGAAAAAACUAAGCAUACCAAUGACUGUCAUGACCAAUACCAAGCAUGGAUAAAUUUGUUACGCGUAAUUUUUUUUGAAACAACCCCUAUCCUCUUUUGCGUUACAUACACGGUAAAUAAGGGGCCCUCCUUAGCCGUGCGGUAAGAUGCACGGCUACAAAGCAAGACCAUGCUGAGGGUGGCUGGGUUCGAUUCCCGGUGCCGGUCUAGGUAAUUUUCGGAUUGGAAAUUGUCUCGACUACCCUGGGCAUAAAAGUAUCAUCGUGUUAGCCUUAUGAUAUACGAAUGCAGAAAUGGUAUCCUGGCUUAGAAACCUCGCAGUUAAUAACUGUGGAAGUGCUUAAUGAACACUAAGCUGCGAGGCGGCAAUGUCCCAGUGUGGGGAUGUAAUGCCAAUGAAGAAGAAGAAGAACACGGUAAAUAAUCAACACGCUCAAUUUAACUCUUUCCUUCCCAUGGUAGCUGUAGAGCUCCAUCAAAAUUUGCACCUUCCAACCUUCAUCGAAUUGUCUCAACAACAAAAUGCAGUAUUUGGCACAACUUUAUGGUUUCAUUAGACUGCAAAUAUAAUCAAUUUUGUGUAAAAAUAGUUAAACUAUUGAAAACAAUUAAGUAACUAUUGAUUUACAAUCAAAAACUUUUUUUUUUCGUUUUCCACUAAUUUUAGCUAUGCCAAAUAACUUUUGUUCUAGCAUUUUUCCAUAGGUGAUUCCUUCUUAUUAAAAUCUUUAAAAAAAAAGUCGUGGGAAAGAGAGGGUUAACUGUUCUAUCUAUUGAAUGUCCAACUUUACAAUCACUAUGAUUAAUAGUCAUAUUUUGAUUUUGUAGUGAUGUCACACAUUUUAAAAGUGCGUUAAAUAUAGACAAUUCCAAAACAUCAACAUUAUUGUUAAGAAAAUUAUUUUGAGCUUUUUAGUGGAAUGUCUUCACUUGUCAUAAGACUAGUUUGUACAAUCCCAUUUAAUUCCACCACUUAAUUGUACCUUGACAGAUACGUAUUUCGACCUCAACAGUAAGGUCGUCUUCAGUGUUUCGUACUUGACUACGUACAAUCAAAAUAUUGUGCACAUCAAAUGGAAGUGCUGGUCUUUGAAUUUGAAAAGUUCAGCUAUUAAUGUUGAUUGGAUUCUAAAGUAGUGCAAAUUCAAAUGCAAAACAAUUCUCAUUGACGUGCAUAUUUUUUACCGAGUAAUAUUUGAACAGGCCUUAUGCAACGUACACACCAGUCAAGCAGUUUGGCGAACAUUGACUCCGCCCCCACGAAAAACCUUCGGUCGCUGCUUUGUUUGAACGUGUGUGAAGUUGUUCGAAUAACCAUUUGACAGUUGGCGGCUCGGUUGGAAAAAAAUAAAACGGUUUGAUUUUGGUUUUGAGUUGUCGGGGGCGGAGUCAAGGUUCGCCGAACAUGUUUGAGCAUUUGUAGUGAAGUUGCACAAACCCCCAUAUAUUUUUUGAUGGUUGGGGCUUCGGUCGUUAGUGUGUGAUAUUGUUGGUCGAAUAAAUUGAUUGUUCGUGCCGCUGUUGGUAAAACUUGAUAGAUGUUUGAAUAAACGAGAGGUGGAGUCAAUGUUGGUCAAACUGCUUGACCGUGUGUACGUUCCAUUAAGGAUAAGUGCCAAAAAUAGUAAGUUUUUGCGCACAUUCAUACACACCAGAGUCUAUUAUAUAAAGUUGCGCAAAGAGAAUCUUCUUACCCUCAUUUUAAAUGAUGCUAUUGUUAUUAUGUUGGCAACUUUCAUUUUUGUUCAACCCUUCAAGUGACUUCACGGGAGUGUUCACUUCUAAAACUUCUUCUAAAUUCGAUAACCAUUGUAGUGACCAUAAUAGUUUUAAAUCAUCAUUAGGAUUACGAACAAUCAGUUGAUGCACAUCAUAAAUAAACAAAGAAACCAAGUCACCCACAGAGUGCAAACACGUGAGUUUCUUGUUGCUACUUUAUUGGGGUGUGCAUUGAAGUUUUUUGAAGCUGUUCCUAGAACAAAUCUAAUACUUGUUUACUUUGCUCGAUAGGUAGACGGUUUUACAGUCCAAUAGGUAGAUUUGGCUUCACUCUUUGCGCAACUCUAUAUAAAAUAUACUCUGAUACACACAUACACAUAGACUAUCAGUUUGUCGAGCUUAGUCGAUUGGUAUAUAACACUUUGGGUCGCCAGGCCUCCAAUGAGAAGUGUUUUUGAAACAACCAUUAUUUGAUAGUUUGGAAUGUAACCUAACUUUUGGUGAAGUAAAACUGAGUUACCUUGAAGUUAAAUAUCACCUACGCCGCUUCGAACACGGCGUAUGCGGUCACCUGCUACCACGGCAUGCUGCUCAAGACAGAACCGCUCCAACCAUGCACUUGAAUAACAUGACCGUUAUUUGAUUGACACUUGGCUUCAUUACAAUCUCGGUCCCGAUUUGUUUUAAAUAUUGGAGUUACUAACUUUUGGCACUCACUUGCCAUCUUGCCUUAAUUGCUUACUACAUGGCUUUGUCAGCAAUUUCGUUAUUUUAUUGUAUUUUUUUCAAUCUCAAUUAUUACCAUCUCAU